This 361-nucleotide ribosomal RNA is filed under the name uncultured bacterium. RNAcentral describes it as "bacterial SSU rRNA". It matches the Rfam family "Bacterial small subunit ribosomal RNA", at positions 338 to 715 of the family's 1533-position model. The record is from RNAcentral.
CCUACGGGAGGCAGCAGUAAGGAAUCUUCCACAAUGGACGAAAGUCUGAUGGAGCAACGCCGCGUGCAGGAUGAAGGCUUUCGGGUCGUAAACUGCUUUUAUAUGGGAAGAUUAUGACGGUACCAUAUGAAUAAGGACCGGCUAACUACGUGCCAGCAGCCGCGGUAAUACGUAGGGUCCAAGCGAUAUCCGGAAUUACUGGGCGUAAAGCGUGUGUAGGUGGAUUAAUAAGUGUGAUGCGAAAUCCGGCGGCUCAACCGUUUGGACUGUGUCGCAUACUGUUAGUCUAGAGGACGGCAGAGGUAAGUGGAAUUACGGGUGUAGCAGUGAAAUGCGUAGAUAUCCGUAGGAACACCAAUGG